This is a long non-coding RNA of Conger conger (European conger), 553 nucleotides long. RefSeq lists it as uncharacterized. The transcript has 4 exons. The record is from RefSeq and is a predicted model, not a curated record. Lineage: Eukaryota; Metazoa; Chordata; Actinopteri; Anguilliformes; Congridae.
AUUUUAGCUAAUAGCCAACAAGCAACCAUAACCACUUUCCUCAGGGGAAAAACUACCAUUCAACAGACGUUAACUUCGGGUGGAAGCGGUGGCUUCCCUGUGUUAUGAUCGGAACACACACUGCUUCACCUGUUGUCUUAGAGGAGCCUCCUCUGGUAUGCAGGUGUCUUCAGUUUGCACUCAGCCCGGAAUCAGUACCUGGAUGAUGUUCUGCGCUGACUGCGUCCCUCGUUUUUGGUGGAGCACUGCCUCUAUCAAGUGGUGAUAAGAAGAUGUGUGACACAUUGCCAUUGUGUGCCUGGGAUCGAUGAGAGAAGUACUGUCUGCGGUAAACGCUGUCCUUGUUUCACCCAAGCUCAUGUCUGGACAAGGGCCACAGCGGGUCGCUGAAUGAGGAAGAGCUGUCCCAGUACGGUACCACCCUGGCUUUAACCAGUCUGGCCAUUCUCCUCUGACGUCUCUCAACAAGCCGUUUUUGUCUGCAGAACGGCUGCUCGCUGGAUUUUUUUUGUUUGUUUUUUGCACCAUUCUCAAACCACCCUGUCUGUCACCA